GGCCUGCCCGACACUCUUUCCCUGUUGCACUACUGUGGGCCACUGGGAAGCAGUGCAAUGAUGAAAGGGCAUCGGUCAGGUC
Molecule: microRNA precursor, 82 nt
Organism: Cercocebus atys (sooty mangabey)
Lineage: Eukaryota; Metazoa; Chordata; Mammalia; Primates; Cercopithecidae
Source: Ensembl